Molecule: ribosomal RNA, 458 nt
Filed under: uncultured bacterium
Lineage: Bacteria
Description: partial 16S ribosomal RNA
Rfam family: Bacterial small subunit ribosomal RNA
Source: RNAcentral
CCUACGGGAGGCUGCAGUGAGGAAUAUUGGUCAAUGGGCGAGAGCCUGAACCAGCCAAGUCGCGUGAGGGAGUACUGCCCUAUGGGUUGUAAACCUCUUUUGUCGGGGAGCAAAAGCCGGACGUGUCCGGCUGUGAGAGUACCCGAAGAAAAAGCAUCGGCUAACUCCGUGCCAGCAGCCGCGGUAAUACGGAGGAUGCGAGCGUUAUCCGGAUUUAUGGGGUUAAAAGGGUGCGCAGGCGGAUUUGUAAGUCAGCGGUCAAAUCGUGGGGCUCAACCCCAUCCAGCCGUUGAAACUGGGGAUCUAGAGUGUGCGAGAGGUAUGCGGAAUGCGUGGUGUAGCGGUGAAAUGCAUAGAUAUCACGCAGAACCCCGAUUGCGAAGGCAGCAUACCGGUGCACAACUGACGCUCAGGCACGAAAGCGUGGGUAUCGAACAGGAUUAGAUACCCUUGUAGUC